Cinara cedri is the source of this 322-nucleotide non-coding RNA. The record is from the annotation of a GenBank genome assembly. NCBI's taxonomy places the organism in Eukaryota, Metazoa, Arthropoda, Insecta, Hemiptera, Aphididae.
AUAUAAAUACAAGUUAAAAAUUUGGUAUUAAGCAAUUUAUUUAAUUUGAUACCCACUUAAACAUCAAUUCUAGUUUUUGACAAAGUAAACGAACUUCUUCAAGCUUUAUUUCAUCUCUUUUUCAUAUUUAUGCUUAAUGGUGGUAUAUAUGUAUAUAUAUAUAUCACUAGGUACUUUGUGUACGUAGUGUUAUAUAUUUUACUUAAAUAAUAAUAUAAUAUAAAUACCUACCUACGUCCUACAUGGAUAAAUUGUAUAAAUAAUAUUAAUUCUAAAAUAGCAUCAAAUAGUCAGUAAAUUAUAAUUUAUUUAUUUAUUUAUU